RNAcentral lists this ribosomal RNA (1360 nucleotides) under uncultured bacterium. RNAcentral describes it as "bacterial SSU rRNA". It matches the Rfam family "Bacterial small subunit ribosomal RNA", at positions 27 to 1382 of the family's 1533-position model. The record is from RNAcentral.
GAACGAACGUUGGCGGCGUGGAUUAGGCAUGCAAGUCGCGGGAAUCCCCAGCAAUGGGGGGAACCGGCGUAAGGGGCAGUAGGGCGUGGGCAACCUACCCCGGGGUCCGGCAUAGCCCGUCGAGAGACGGGGUAAUUCCGGGCGACAUCCCGACGGGGCAUCCCGACGGGAUCACAGGUCCGCCGUCCCGGGCGGGGCCCACGUGAUAUUAGCUGGUUGGUGGGGUAACGGCCCACCAAGGCGUAGAUGUCUAGCGGGUGUGAGAGCACGACCCGCGCCACUGGCACUGAGACACUGGCCAGACACCUACGGGUGGCUGCAGUCGAGGAUCUUCGGCAAUGGGGGCAACCCUGACCGAGCGACGCCGCGUGUGCGACGAAGGCCUUCGGGUUGUAAAGCACUGUCGAGGGGGAGGAAAGCCCGCGAGGGUUUGACCCAUCCCUGGAGGAAGCACGGGCUAAGUUCGUGCCAGCAGCCGCGGUAAGACGAACCGUGCGAACGUUGUUCGGAAUCACUGGGCUUAAAGGGCGCGUAGGCGGGCCGCCAGGCCCGCGGUGAAAUCUCCCCGGCUCAACCGGGGAAGUGCCGCGGGGACCCGGCGGUCUGGAGUGAGAUAGGGGCGUGCGGAACUGUGGGUGGAGCGGUGAAAUGCGUUGAUAUCCACAGGAACUCCCGGUGGCGAAGGCGGCACGCUGGAUCUCGACUGACGCUGAGGCGCGAAAGCCAGGGGAGCGAACGGGAUUAGAUACCCCGGUAGUCCUGGCCCUAAACGUUGGGGACUGGGUAGCAGGCCGGACAUGGGCUUGCUGCCGGAGCGAAAGUGUUAAGUCCCCCGCCUGGGGAGUAUGGUCGCAAGGCUGAAACUCAAAGGAAUUGACGGGGGCUCACACAAGCGGUGGAGCAUGUGGCUUAAUUCGAGGCUACGCGAAGAACCUUAUCCCGGGCUUGACAUGUGCGAAAGCGCUCGGAAGUAGCCCGCGGAAACGUGGGGCCAACGGUACCCAGUCCGGAGCCGAGCACAGGUGCUGCAUGGCUGUCGUCAGCUCGUGUCGUGAGAUGUCGGGUUAAGUCCCAUAACGAGCGAAACCCCUGCCCUCAGUUGCCACUCGUGGGACUCUGGGGGGACUGCCGGUGUCAAACCGGAGGAAGGUGGGGAUGACGUCAAGUCCUCAUGGCCUUUAUGCCCGGGGCUGCACACGUGCUACAAUGGCGUGGACAAAGGGACGCGAGCCCGCGAGGGGGAGCCAAUCCCAGAAAGCACGCCCCAGUUCGGAUCGCAGGCUGCAACCCGCCUGCGUGAAGCCGGAAUCGCUAGUAAUCGCGGGUCAGCAACACCGCGGUGAAUGUGUUCCUGAGCCUU